RNAcentral lists this ribosomal RNA (1334 nucleotides) under metagenome. RNAcentral describes it as "SSU rRNA". It matches the Rfam family "Eukaryotic small subunit ribosomal RNA", at positions 260 to 1445 of the family's 1831-position model. The record is from RNAcentral.
CUUGGCAAAUUACGGGAAAAUUCCUGUGAUGAUUCAAACGGAUUUCUGACCUAUCAACUUCAGAUGGCAAAGUAGGGGUUUGCCAUGGUGACAACGGGUGACGGGGAAUUAGGGUUCGAUUCCGGAGAGGGAGCCUGAGAAACGGCUACCACUUCCAAGGAAGGCAGCAGGCGCGCAAAUUACCCAAUGCUAAUUCGGCGAGGUAGUGACAAGAAAUACCAAUGUAGGACCCAACGGGUACUACGUUUGGAAUGAGUACAAUUUAAAAACCUUAACGAGGAACAAUUGGAGGGCAAGUCUGGUGCCAGCAGCCGCGGUAAUUCCAGCUCCAAUAGUGUAUAUUAAAGUUGCUGCGGUUAAAAAGCUCGUAGUUGGAUUACGAAGUGGUGUUUAAAUGUUAAUUUUGGUUGGUCUGUCCUUCGGGGCAUUCUGGCUGACUUUGGCACUUACUCACUGAUGUCAUUGUCUUUGCCCAAGGUAAUUGCCUUGUGUGCAUGGCAUUGACCUUCUAUUUUAUGGUAAUGAGGUCAUCUUUCGGGGUGACUCUUCAUUCCAUAUAGUUUACUUUGAAAAAAUUAGGGUGUUUAAAGCAGGCGAAAAGGCUUCGGAAUAUAUUAGCAUGGGAUAAUAGAAUACGAUUUAGGUCGUAAUUUGUUGGUUUCUACGGCUUAGGUAAUGAUUGACAGGGAUAGUUGGGGUCGCUCGUAUUGAGUUGUCAGAGGUGAAAUUCUAGGAUUAACUCAAGACGAACUAAUGCGAAAGCAUUCGGCAAGGAUGUUUUCAUUAAUCAAGAACGAAAGUUGGGGGAUCGAAGAUGAUCAGAUACCGUCGUAGUCUCAACUGUAAACUAUGUCGACCGAGGAUCCGGUAGCGUUACAUGGAUGACCUUCCGGGCACUCUGUGAGAAAUCAUAAGUAUUUGGAUUUCGGGGGGAGUAUGGUCGCAAGGCUGAAACUUAAAGGGAUUGACGGAAGGGCACCACCAGGAGUGGAAUCUGCGGCUUAAUUUGACCCAACACGGGAAAACUUACCAGGUCCGGGCACAGUGAGGAUUGACAGAUUGAGAGCUCUUUCUUGAUUUUGUGGGUGGUGGUGCAUGGCCGUUUUUAGUUGGUGGAGUGAUUUGUCUGGUUAAUUCCGUUAACAAACGAGACCUUAACCUAUUAAAUAGCUGCGCGAACCCAGGUUCUUUAACCAUUCUCUCCUUCGGGGGGGCGUGGUAUCAUCUCUUUGCUUUUCACCUUCGGGUGGGAGGUAGGGGGAUGAUAGGGCCUGAGAUGAGUUGGUGAUUUGGCUUCUUAGAGGGACUACUUGCAUCCUUAGCAAGGGGAGGCU